GUGCCAGCCGCCGCGGUAAUACGUAGGGGGCAAGCGUUGUCCGGAGUUACUGGGCGUAAAGGGCACGCAGGCGUUUGUGUCAGUUUGCGGGGACAGUGGGCGGCUUAACUGCCCAAUCGUCGCAAAGACGGCACGACUGGAGAGCGAGAGAGGGACCUGGAAUUCCGGGUGGAGCGGUGAAAUGCGUAGAGAUCCGGAGGAACACCACUGGCGAAGGCAAGGUCCUGGCUCGUACCUGACGCUCAGCCACGAAAGCAUGGGGAGCGAACGGGAUUAGAAACCCCUGUAGUCC
This 292-nucleotide ribosomal RNA is filed under the name uncultured bacterium. RNAcentral's name for it is "partial 16S ribosomal RNA". It matches the Rfam family "Bacterial small subunit ribosomal RNA", at positions 505 to 796 of the family's 1533-position model. The record is from RNAcentral.